GGCGGACGGGUGAGUAAUGCUUAGGAAUCUGCCUAUUAGUGGGGGACAACAUCUCGAAAGGGAUGCUAAUACCGCAUACGUCCUACGGGAGAAAGCAGGGGAUCACUUGUGACCUUGCGCUAAUAGAUGAGCCUAAGUCGGAUUAGCUAGUUGGUGGGGUAAAGGCCUACCAAGGCGACGAUCUGUAGCGGGUCUGAGAGGAUGAUCCGCCACACUGGGACUGAGACACGGCCCAGACUCCUACGGGAGGCAGCAGUGGGGAAUAUUGGACAAUGGGGGGAACCCUGAUCCAGCCAUGCCGCGUGUGUGAAGAAGGCCUUAUGGUUGUAAAGCACUUUAAGCGAGGAGGAGGCUCUUUUGGUUAAUACCCAGAAUGAGUGGACGUUACUCGCAGAAUAAGCACCGGCUAACUCUGUGCCAGCAGCCGCGGUAAUACAGAGGGUGCAAGCGUUAAUCGGAUUUACUGGGCGUAAAGCGCGCGUAGGCGGCCAAUUAAGUCAAAUGUGAAAUCCCCGAGCUUAACUUGGGAAUUGCAUUCGAUACUGGUUGGCUAGAGUGUGGG
RNAcentral lists this ribosomal RNA (562 nucleotides) under Acinetobacter sp. ERR551. Its description in RNAcentral is "bacterial SSU rRNA". It matches the Rfam family "Bacterial small subunit ribosomal RNA", at positions 97 to 652 of the family's 1533-position model. Lineage: Bacteria; Pseudomonadati; Pseudomonadota; Gammaproteobacteria; Moraxellales; Moraxellaceae. The record is from RNAcentral.